UACGGGUGCGGAACACGUGUGCACUAGCUUUAUCUGGGGGAUAGCCUUUCGAAAGGAAGAUUAAUACCCCAUAAUAUGUUGGAUGGCAUCAUUCGACAUUGAAAACUCCGGUGGAUAGAGAUGGGCACGCGCAAGAUUAGAUAGUUGGUGAGGUAACGGUCACCAAGUCUACGAUCUUUAGGGGGCCUGAGAGGGUGAUCCCCCAACUGGUACUGAGACACGGACCAGACUCCUACGGGAGGCAGCAGUGAGGAAUAUUGGACAAUGGGUGAGAGCCUGAUCCAGCAUCCCGCGUGAAGGACGACUGCCCUAUGGGUCGUAAACUUCUUUUGGAUAGGGAUAAACUACCCUCGUGAGGGUAGCUGAAGGUACUAUACGAAUAAAGGCAACCCGGGUUAACUCCCGUGGCCAAGCAAGCCCGGCGGUAACUACGGAGGGUGCAACGCGUUUAUCCGGAUUCAUUGGGUUCUAAAAGGGGUCCCGNAAGGCGGAUCCCUCGGACACUACAGCUNGCUCGAAAAUCUUCACCAGGCUUAACUCGGUGCGCGAAAACAACCAUUGGGGCCGCCAAUAUAGCCAGGAANAAAACUCGGGCACAGC
RNAcentral lists this ribosomal RNA (600 nucleotides) under uncultured bacterium. Its description in RNAcentral is "bacterial SSU rRNA". The stretch from base 1 to 443 matches the Rfam family "Bacterial small subunit ribosomal RNA", at positions 101 to 537 of the family's 1533-position model. The record is from RNAcentral.